RNAcentral lists this long non-coding RNA (726 nucleotides) under Acanthaster planci (crown-of-thorns starfish). Its description in RNAcentral is "uncharacterized LOC110979987, transcript variant X2". Lineage: Eukaryota; Metazoa; Echinodermata; Asteroidea; Valvatida; Acanthasteridae. The record is from RNAcentral.
GAUACAUUGUCAUGCAGUUCUGAUAUGAAAACAGUAAAAAAAAAAAGCUGGGGGGUAGCUGCAAGACCAACUGUAGCUGUUGCUUUAAAGAAAAAUGUGGAGUUCUUUGUCAAAUGCUAUGGAAAAUAAUUUUUCUACAUUUAUCAUAGAUUUAGGGAUAGAAACACAUACAUAAUUUAUGCAUGUAGAGGUCAUGGCCUGGGUCACACCUACCCAUUUAUAUGACAAAUACAUCGUGGACAAAUCAGGAAUUAUAUACCAAUAUCUUAAGAAUUACUUUAACCUCCUUUUCAUUUCUUUUUUUUUCCAGAAUGGAAUCUGACAGGAAAAAAAGCAUCAGAUUUUAUCCAGGGUUGGACGUACUCCUGCUAAGGGAGAUAGUUGCCGACAUUCCCCAAAAUAAAUCAAUGUGGGAGGCCAUAAACAAAAAGUUGAAUGACGUCUUGAAAGAACGAAAUGCCUAUGUCACUUUGAGAGCAUGUAAGGAUCGCCUUUGCCACCUACGAGAGGCACACCGCAGGCAGGAAAUGAAUUCAUUGAGAGCGAGUAUGAUGAAAGGGCACAACUGUUGACCGAACUGGCUGAGUUAGAUGAGGAGCGGAAGAAAGCCAAGGAAACAUCUGGGAAAGACACACAUGCCAAAGAAAUUCAAGGAAAAGAAAUCCGAAUGGCAGCAAUGGAAUCCCUCGCUGGGACCAACAAAGAAGCUACCACCCAACAAAAAAG